RNA transcript from Cavia porcellus (domestic guinea pig), 3968 nucleotides. It is a transcript of the gene named neuronal calcium sensor 1, with no coding region annotated. The record is from RefSeq and is a predicted model, not a curated record. The transcript is spliced from 9 exons. Lineage: Eukaryota; Metazoa; Chordata; Mammalia; Rodentia; Caviidae.
AGAGCGAGGGAGGCGGGGUGCGCAGGGCGGCGGCGCAGCAGCGAGCGUGUGCCGCGCGGCCCAGUAACCAGGGACGACCGCGCAGCCCGCGCACCCCGGCCUCCCCACGCCUCGCGCCCUGCGCCCGGGCGCCCCGGCCAGGCCUGUCGCGGGGUGCAGAGGAGCACGCCGAGCCCCGGCCCCGGCGGCGCGCUCACGGCGCAGACAAAGGCGCGGCCCCGGCCCGGCCCAGCCCGGCCCAACCGCUCCCGGGGGGCGCCCUGACCAGCCAGGCCCGGGGGCGGGGGCGCGGCCGCCGAGGAUGGGGAAAUCCAACAGCAAGUUGAAGCCCGAAGUUGUGGAGGAGCUGACCAGGAAAACGUACUUUACCGAGAAGGAGGUGCAGCAGUGGUACAAGGGCUUCAUCAAGGACUGCCCCAGCGGGCAGCUGGAUGCUGCUGGCUUCCAGAAGAUCUACAAGCAGUUCUUCCCCUUCGGAGACCCCACCAAGUUUGCUACGUUUGUCUUCAACGUCUUUGAUGAGAACAAGGACGGGCGGAUCGAGUUCUCCGAGUUCAUCCAGGCGCUCUCGGUGACCUCGCGGGGAACCCUGGAUGAGAAGCUGCGGUGGGCCUUCAAGCUCUACGACUUGGACAACGACGGCUACAUUACCAGGAACGAGAUGCUGGAUAUCGUGGACGCCAUUUACCAGAUGGUGGGAAACACUGUGGAGCUGCCCGAGGAGGAGAACACGCCCGAGAAGAGGGUGGACCGGAUCUUUGCCAUGAUGGACAAGAACGCGGACGGUAAGCUGACGCUGCAGGAGUUCCAGGAAGGCUCCAAGGCGGACCCCUCCAUCGUGCAGGCGCUGUCCCUCUACGACGGGCUGGUAUAGUCCAGGCCAGAGCUGGGCCUCAUGAAGUAGUUUCUGUACUUCAGUUGCCCUCUUCCCGGAAAUACAGAUGCCUGGGGACACUUGCCUGUCCCGUGCCACGAGGCCACCGCAGCCUGACACCACCUCCCGUGCCCACCUGGUCCCCUUCAGUGGCCACACACAUCUGGCCGCCCUUGACCCGCGAGGCCUGGCUCUCCUGCCCCCUGCCCUGUGCCCACCACCACCUGAAGCCACGGGCUCCAGUCGCCAGCCGCCUCCGCUUGUCCAAAACCAGACAGGGCUUGCUGCUGGGCGCGUACUGGCCUCUUCCUCCUGCUGGCCUGCGUACGCUUUGGUUUUUGUUUUUUAUUUCAAAUGGACAUUUUAAAACGAAACAAAACAAAACUACCUUGCGUCCUAGAAGACACUGACUGGUGGGGAGAAGGCCUCGGGACUCAGAGAAUCUGCUGGGCCCGGCCCCCUGGGCUGGGCAAAGCCACAGUGGGGCUGGCAUGGUCGCCAGUGGUGCCCACCCACUAUUUUCCGUGAUAACAGUAUUGUGCAUUUGUGGGGAAAGUGGGGUUUUCUUUCAAUCCUCCUAUGUAACCACAUCCUUUAUUUAUUGGUUGUUCACGUUGCUGCUGUCCCGGUGCCCCGCAUCCCGGGGCCAGGGCCGACGUCGUCCACACCACGCUUGCUUGGCAGGGUUUAGGCCUACAGUGGCCAAGAAGCCAAAAACCACUUUUUUCUCUUCUCUUUCUCUUUUCAAAUACUGUGCUUGGUGUCUGCAGAGGGGCAGGCAGCCCCCCCGACGGCUCAUGGACUGUUCCCCUCCGCCAGGCCCUCUUGAGCCUCUGCCCCACCCCCCUCCUCUGGAUCUGGGAGAUUUUCUUCCUUUUUUAAAUUAAGGAUGAAGAGGCAGCACUUUGCAGCUUCCUCCAGGUAGCCGUGUGGGGAAGGAGCUGUCUGUCUCUGCAGGCCGCUUCACAGGGGUCCAGGAUGCUGUCCUCUCUCUGGGGUGGUGGCCUGAGGGCGAUGACCAUUGUCCCCGCAUCCUCCCAUGCUGCUUUCUGUCUUCCAGCUGUCUUUUGCAGGGACUGCGUGGCGUCCUGCCUGGUGGCUCUGCAUAGGCACUGGAGGAAGUGGGAGAGAAGGUACCCGCCCCUCAGAGCAGAUUCUAGCUCUCCUGCCUCUGAGUCAGGGAUGGCCCCAGAAGUGUCCCCAGGAGCAGCAGAUGACCCUCGUCAGAGGCUGAGCCUGCUCUUGCUUGGUGAAUCGGGUCAUCCCUUGGCCUCUGAGGCCCCCGCUGAGCCACUGAGCAGGCUGGGAGGGAGGCCUGGGAUGGCCAAGCUUGAGGCCCCUUUGCUAGCUUGGCAAUAGAAUUCAGAGCCUGAGAUUCCGCUGCCUGGGUUUGUGGUUCUGUGGCCUGUGGCUGGGUUUUCCAGGCCCCUGCAGAAGUAGGGACUGUCACAUUCACUGCUCAGCCCCGCUGUCUCUUCGCCCAAGCUUCUGACGUGGCCCAGCAGUGGGCUGCUGGUGUGUGGCGUCCAGUCUGGAGCCCAGUGUGUCCCAUGAUGCCUUGCACCUCCCUGCUGUGUCCCCAGACCCUUGGACCCAGGGCUCAUCCUCACUGAACAGGUCCCCAGAAAGAGUUCUUGCUUCUGCUGCAUAGAGUACGGUCUCCCGGGCCACACCCAAGAGGGACAGAGCUGGCCUUUGGUCCUGCUCGGGGAGAUCCCCGGUCUCCACCCCUGCCCCAGCAGUCUGGAGCCUCCCUGCCAUGGGCCGGGGGACAGCUCCUGCCCUGGGCCAGUGUGACACAGCCUGCAUCUCCACCCUCAGCCCCAGAUCCCGAGGGAACAGGAGCAGGAAGCCACCCUCAAGGUAGCUUUGAAGGGUGGGACCUUUGAGGCCCUGCAGGGUGGCUUCCUGCUCAGCCACCAGCCAGGGAGGUCUGAGGGCUUCUGUCCCGCUCCUGCCAGGACCCCAGGGCAGGGGGUGGCUGGAUGGUCUAGGGCUAACCAUGGGCCUUUUCCUGGUCAUCUCACCUCUGCCUCCCAGAAGCCGCACUGGCCUCUGUCCAGUCUGGAGGCAGGAAGGCUGGGGAGCUGGCUCAAGGACUGUCAAGGGCUGGGUUGUGUUCCCUCCCACUGUCACCUCAUCCUGUCGUGGGGAGCCACAGGUGUCGUCCUUGAUGGUGACCCUUGUGCCCAUGCCUCGGGCACAUCUUUGGCUCUUGCCCUGAGACAGUCACAGCUGCCCGCAGGGACACCCCCUUCCUGGUGGAGAGCUGGACACUGGCCAUUUCCGCUCCAGGCCAAUUCUGUCCCUUCCUGUCACCAGACUUGUAAAGGCGGCUGGCAUCUUUAGGGCAGGCCACCCCCCGAACAGCCCAAGGGCCUGACCCCAAGGCACUUUUCACCUGCAGCCCCACCCUGGGUGACACCCCUUGCCCCUCUUCAGGGCCAGCCCCUCCAUCCCAGGCACAGCCAUGAGCCCUGGGGUCCAGGGGCCUGACUGGCCUCGUCUCCAGCAUCUGCUUCCUACUUUGUGCUGAUGGUGACUUAGGAAAUGUCACGACUUUCAAAUAUUUAACCAAGCAACGUUUAAAAUAACCUGCAGGCGAAUGUAUGUCACCCCUUCUGAAAUGCUUUGUGGCUUGACAGCUGAUGUCCUCCACAGGAGUCCCCGGGCUCUUGGGGACGUUGUUUCUUCUCCCGGAGGAGGAGGGGAAGGACGGGAAGGAUGCUGGGGACCUCUGGCGUCUUCCUAGGAGAAAGCCCGGCAUCUUCCAGGGCAGGGACCUCGUUGAUAAGCUCUUGAGGACGUGCAGGGGCGCUCCCUGGUGGUGACAGGCAGCGACUGCGUCUGGGAGCUCUAACCUGCCUAGCAGGGGUGCAGGUCAGCCGCCGGGCGACCCGAGGUCCCUGGGCUGCUGGAUUAGCGAGGUGUUGCCCAGGUGGCCUCUGAGGUAGUCCGAGGAGCUGGUGAGUCAGUCCAAGGGCACUGAUUGGAAGCCUUGCCCUUCCUCCCUCCUUUAUUAUUUUUUUAAAAACUCUGCGGAAUAAAUCCAAUGGUUACUUUUUGGAUGAAUAAAAGGCUUUUGUUGAAUAAA